CACCUGCAAAGCAGGGAUGGAUUUCUGAGAAGAACUGUCCUGCACUGGGAAAUGUCUCUGAGAGGCCCCUGGGAUCUGCUGGGUGUUCCUGGAGAAGGGACACGAGGGGACUGUCCCUCCCUGGCCACAGCAGGACUGUCUCCCAGAAGAUGGAGCUCUUUCCCCAGCACUGCUGAUGGAGACCUUAUCUGUAUCACAGGCCCAUAAGGCUGAGACAGCUGGGACAUAGGAAUGCUCCUUGUGAGGCACUUGGAAACAUGCAGUUGAGCCCUCAAAACCUUCUUUGAUGCAUUUUUUUAGACGUGUUUCAGUGGCAGCAGAGUGGCCUGGCAGGAAGGUUCCAGAGCUCAGACCCUGUUGUCCUGAACUGGGACUAAAGCACUAUUUAGCAUUGCUUUGCAAAGACUAAAUGUAAGUAAGUCUA
Corapipo altera (White-ruffed manakin) is the source of this 424-nucleotide long non-coding RNA. RefSeq lists it as uncharacterized. The record is from RefSeq and is a predicted model, not a curated record. The transcript is spliced from 3 exons. Lineage: Eukaryota; Metazoa; Chordata; Aves; Passeriformes; Pipridae.